AUCGACCGGGUCUGUGACAUGGUAGAUCAAUACGGCAGGGAUAUAAAGCCGGCUGGCUGCCUGCCUGCCUCUGCCUCUCUCUCUCCCCGCUUGCCUUGCUUCCUUUUCCCGGAGCCGCACCUAGGCCCCCCACCCCCAUGGACCCCUUAUCCACACGCCUCCGAGGGGCCGGGGCCCCACCCCCACCACCUCCCUGCAGCAGGAGAGCUUAGGGAGACUGAGAGCUUGGACAACCAGAGAGGGGGUCCACAGCUCACCGUGGCUGUCUCUGGAGAGAGAAGGCUAGACAUGGAUCCCUACCUACUCUGAAUCCAAGACUGGAAACAGAUCCAGGCUCAGAGGAAAAGGAGGCAACCAGGGUGGGAUGGAGAGGCCAGGCCCAGAAGAAGAUCAAGUAAAGGAAAGAAGAAGAGGACGAUAGAGAUGGAGCCCAAGGGCAAGGAGGAGGCAAGGAGGGAAACCAGAGACCCGCAGAGGCCGGCAGGGUCCCGAGAGGGGGACCGUGCAGGGAGCAGGGGGCGGGGGGGGGUGUCACAGCUGACAUCCAGGGUCCCCUCUGGGGCCUGCCCGUGGCCUCCCAGCCCUUCCUCACUGGUGCCGUCUAUUUGAAAUCAGGGCCAGGUGCCUGCCCUCAGCCCCUGGGGUUCCGUGCUUGCCAGACGUAGGCACCUGAGCGUUUGUCUGCUCUGGGACUGUCAGAGACGCGAGCCACUCUCACCCCCUCCACGUCUGGAACAUCUCAGCCUGUGGCUGGCAGACACUCCCAGUCCUGGGUGGGUGACAGCUCUCUCCACCCUCCAGGGACAGCAAAGUCAGCCCAAGGGACCGAACAGUCACUUUCCAGCAUCCGCAAGGACAGUGAGGAGCGCCACCACCCCGGCCCAGCCCUCAGCCUCACAGCCAUGCCCUGUGGACCACCCCUGGGGCCGCCCCACCAAGAAGCUGCCCCCACAACAACGAUGACGAUGACAAUGACGAGGACUACGAUGAAGCCUGGCCCUCCCACCCCCAAGGCACAUCCCUAACAGAGCACACACUAUUCCUGGAGCCAAAGCCCCCGCCCAAGACCUGAGGAGUGGCUAACCGGGCCUGGGGGAUCAGGGCAAAUCCCUGGCCCCACCUACUGACUUUUUGGCUCCUGUCUGCAGACAAGCUGCCACAUGGGCCUGCGAUUCCCACAGCCACACGGCCCCCUCAGAGAGAGGUGCCCACCUUGCAGCUCAACCUCCCUCCUCCUUGUGCAGCCCUGGGUUCUCUCCAAGUCACUUCGCCAGAUCCAGCAAUGGAAGCCUUUCACCCACAACUACGCUCCUGCUUCUGAGGCAUUCCAGACCCCCUUGGGGUGUGUGGGUGCCAUAGGAAGGCCCUGGCACUUGUGCCAGAGUCACCUCUGUGACCCCCAGGGCCUGGUUCACACCGAAGGCCACUAGGUCUUUUUGUGGAAGGAUAGGACAGAAGGGAGGGAGGCAAGGUGGGGACAGAGCCCUGCUUCUGCUCAGCACUGGGAGGGCCUCGGAUAC
Molecule: long non-coding RNA, 1520 nt
Filed under: Sus scrofa (pig)
Lineage: Eukaryota; Metazoa; Chordata; Mammalia; Artiodactyla; Suidae
Description: lncRNA (ENSSSCG00005020875.1)
Source: RNAcentral